GAUGAAGAACGUAGCGAAAUGCGAUAAGUAAUGUGAAUUGCAGAAUUCAGUGAAUCAUCGAAUCUUUGAACGCACAUUGCGCCCGCCAGUAUUCUGGCGGGCAUGCCUGUUCGAGCGUCAUUUCAACCAUCAAGCCCCAGGCUUGUGUUGGGGACCUGCGGCUGCCGCAGGCCCUGAAAACCAGUGGCGGGCUCGCUGUCACACCGGGCGUAGUAGAUUUUAUCUCGCUCAGGGCGUGCUGCGGGUUCCGGCCGUUAAAAAGCCUUUUUUACCCAAGGUUGACCUCGGAUCAGGUAGGAAGACCCGCUGAACUUAAGCAUGUCAAUAAGCGGAGGA
This 336-nucleotide unclassified non-coding RNA is filed under the name soil metagenome. Its description in RNAcentral is "partial contains 5.8S ribosomal RNA, internal transcribed spacer 2, and large subunit ribosomal RNA". The stretch from base 1 to 120 matches the Rfam family "5.8S ribosomal RNA", at positions 35 to 154 of the family's 154-position model. The record is from RNAcentral.